RNAcentral lists this unclassified non-coding RNA (53 nucleotides) under Mus musculus (house mouse). RNAcentral describes it as "partial miscellaneous RNA". The record is from RNAcentral. Lineage: Eukaryota; Metazoa; Chordata; Mammalia; Rodentia; Muridae.
UGGGCAUGAAUUAAUGGUUACUAGAGAUUCACAACGCCUGGGGAGCCUGCACA